CGCUGUCUCGUGGGCUCGGAGAUGUGUAUAAGAGACAGGUACAGCACUGGAUGGGCUAGGGGCCGCAAGGUUACCAAACCCAACCAAACUCGGAAUGCGCCGACAGGCAGCGCGGCAGUCGGACGGCGGGAGAUGAGUUUCGUCGUCGAAAGGGAAACAGCCCAGACCCGCAGCUAAGGUCCUGAAGACCGGCUCAGUGGCAAACGAGGUGGGCGUGUUGAGACAGCCAGGAGGUUGGCUUAGAAGCAGCCAUCCUUCAAAGAGUGCGUAAUAGCUCACUGGUCAAGUGAUCCUGCGCGGAAAACUUAACGGGGCUAAGCUUGAUACCGAAGCCAUGGACUUCAUCCUAGAGAUGGAGUGGUAGGGGAGCGUUCUGUCGUCGGAGAAGCACUACCGUAAGGAGGUGUGGAGAUGACAGAAGUGAGAAUGCAGGCAUGAGUAGCGAAAAACACGUGAGAACCGUGUUCGCCGAAAAUCUAAGGUUUCCGACGCCAGGUCAGUCCGCGUCGGGUUAGUCAGGGCCUUAGCCGAGGCCGAAAGGCGUAGGUGAUGGACAUCCGGUCAACAAUCCGGAACCGCUGGACGGGAGUGAAGCGGGGACGCAGCAAGGUAAGCCAGCCCACGAAUGGUGGUGUGGGUGUCUGUGGUGGCAGGUGCUGAGGGCGGUAGGCAAAUCCGUCGCCCGAGCCGAGACCAUGGAGCGAGCCUAUAAGGUGGAAGUGAGCCGAACCUAGCUGCCGAGAAAAGCCGCGUAGCGAUGAACGUUUAGCGCCUGUACCGCAAACCGACACAGGUAGAUGAGUGGAGAACACUCAGGCGAACGGGGAAACCUUCGUCAAGGAAUUAGGCAAAUUAGCCCCGUAACUUCGGGAUAAGGGGUGCCCCUCAGGUGAGUAGAAAUACGUAGCCGAGGGGGGUCGCAGCAAAGCGGCUCUAGUGACUGGUUAACAAAACCACAGGUCUCUGCGAAGUCGAAAGACGACGUAUAGGGGCUGACGCCUGCCCAGUGCCGGAAGGUUAAAGGGAGAGGUUCGGGGG
Molecule: ribosomal RNA, 1038 nt
Filed under: Candidatus Zixiibacteriota bacterium
Lineage: Bacteria; Pseudomonadati; Candidatus Zixiibacteriota
Description: partial 23S ribosomal RNA
Rfam family: Bacterial large subunit ribosomal RNA
Source: RNAcentral